ACAAUUUACAUGGAGCUCGCCCUGCGCCCGCUAUUUACUUUGAAAACCUGAUUAGCAUGGGUCGCCUAUUGUCACAAAAAGAGGAAGAAACCUCGGAGAGAAUGGCCGAGGGCGUGCGCCGCUAAAACGCGGGCGAGCUCGACGCACGUGAAACACGGCGACGUUCGGAGCACGUUCUGCGUCUGAACCGGCGUGUCUCCCCGUCACAUGAAUCCGCGCUCGAUCGUAUGUGGCAAGUAUCUGAAAACUACCUCGACGGAGACUCACACGCCGACAUUUUACGCGGCAUUCGUAAAUGGGUGCGUAUUUUUUUAAGAAAUUCUAAUGACAAUAUUUCCAAUUUUCGCGUGAAGUUGUUAAAUCGUUUUACGAAACCGGCUGUAAUGUAAUGAGAGGAAAGCUUCGGAUUCUCAGACUGGAAAUGUCUGGAUCGCACUGCCACCUAGCGGACAGUGCGGAAGUGCAGGAGAGGGUACGGGGAGCGCUGCAUCGCCCACCGCCUUCAAACAGGCACUUGUCAUACAGUCCAACAGUUUCCACUUGUACUACCACCACCAUUAUUAAUUAUUAUUCUUAUCAUUAUUGUUAGAAUUAUUAUUAUACGAAUACAUGCGUUCUAAAACAGCACGACUCAAAGUGCAUUAACUGGAUUGCAUAAUAAUGCAGCAAAAAUAGAAAAUGCAGGCGAAAUCACACAUUCUCAUUUUUCCCAACUUCCAAAUUUAAGUUUGAAAGCAUCUGCACAACUAUCACCGCGUUCUUGGCGAAAUGUGUGCUGUCCGUGCGGUCAGUACUUUGCAGUACUUGUGCAGCUCAUCUGUGUUUAAACAGCUCAGGUUAAGCAGCGCGAUGGGAUGGGGCGCAAAUGUCCAGGAGCUCAAAGCCUGCGUGUAAAUGCAGUGGUGAAACGAAUAAGAUUAAAGGCGACAAAAGGAAAGUUCUGUAAGUGUAUCAUGGAGAUUUCACUGCGCGCAUCGUGGAGGCUGAGAGAGGGAGAGAGACGAGAGAGGGGGGACGGCGAAUGGGAGCGGAGCGGAGCGGAGGGGAGACGAGGCGAGACGAGACCAGACGAGCCUCUGCAGGAAACAACGGGCACAAACGGGGGAAAGUGGACAGCGCGGGCGGCGCUCAGUGCAGCAGCACCGGGAGAUGAGCGCCGAAGCGCCGGAGCGCCGAAGGACGAGCGCAGAAGAACCUGCGACGACACACACACACACACACACACACACACACACACUUACGUCCACGAGGCAAGUAGAGCUUCUCUUUUGUGCUGCACGCGACGGUGCGCGGCAGCUCUUCUCUCUCUGCAUGACGUGUGUCCGUGUAAGCAUGCUUUGCAAAACUAUUAUGAUUAUUACGACUGUUAUUAUUACGGGCGUUUAAUAGGCUUUGCUUGUCAACCCGAAGGCUCCUCCGCUCCGAAGUGUCGCAGAGAGUUCAUUAAGAGUCAUUACUGGAGCGCUCCAGUGUAGGAGGUGAAAAGCCCCCUUUCCUUCCCAAAUAAUGUGGAUGUUCUCACCUGCUCCAGCCUGUUUGUGGUUUGAUCACGUAAUGAGAAGAUCGAUAGGAGCCUGUUUGUCUAAGAGAUAGUGUCAACGGAUUAAAAGGACUGUUACACCAUCGACUCUGCCCAUGCAGCUCCACAGGCGCACAGGGAUUUUUUUUUGGGAAAGCAGUCAGUGCGUUAGUUUAAAUGUCUUCUGUGCGCAUCGACGCCGGCAUUAAAAUAAUACUCACACAUAAAUGCAGGACAUUCUACUGUGUCCACGCAAAUUUGAGGGUAAGAGCAAACACGGCAGACGCGUGUGUCACAAACCCUAUGCUGGGCGAGCUGACAGUGUCUGGAUGUGUUCGAGUGAACCCAACUUUAGUCUUUUUCUUUUGUCUUUUUUUGCCCGAAACUUAUUUCCAUCCGUUAAAGACGCUCAGGAAAACGCAACGAUAACAAUAAAAAAAAAAAAAAAACACACGAUCACCCGCCCCCCCCCAACAUUUUACAUAAACCACGUUAUAAUCGCAGUUGCCACUUUGAGAUCUUUGUAGCAAAUGGAAGGAAACGAACGAAGCCCUUAAAUUAUUCAUUAAUAUCCCACACGUGAUUUCGUCACUUCUUCGCACCGUUUUUAUGCGACAUCUCCAUUAUGCGGCGAUAUCAAAAGAAUAUUCAAAGACGUGAUAAUGCGACACUAACUUCAUAUAAGUUAUGUCUUUUAAUGCGUGCGUGCCUGCAAUUUUGUACUUAAUGUUUGCAUGCUUAAUAUUAACACCACACAAAAUUAAAAUAUAUCUAGAGGCGAGCGAUCAUUUACAGUGAAAUGAACUUAUGUGUUUUGUACCUUUUUUUUUCAUAGUACUUUAAAGGCCCCCCGUCGAGCCACCUGAGUAAACAGGAUUCCGUUUUCAGUGUUGUACGACGGGGUGGUAAAAUGGCCCGGACGCCCAGUUUUUACACUCCCUCGUGCCUGCCACUUUCAGCUCGCGCACAAUUUGUAAUCAUGUGCGGGAGCGUCGAAUGUGCGCGUUUACCGCCCUGUGCCACACUGUGCCUUUACCUGUGCGCCAAGGAAACACCUUCCCGGGAAAGAGGUCUGCGCGCUGCUUGGGGCCUUGCGUUUUUCAGCAGACUGAGUACGAUUAGUGAAUUAAGAGAGAAUGCAAAAACGAUCCCCCUACUAAUUGCUAAACUGUUAUAAUAAUUCUACCCAAAGGAACGGAGCCAAAGCCCGCCUCAUCUCAUGUAUGCCCUGUCUGUUGUUGGCGCAGGUAAAGUGAGGGGCCGCGCUGUGGUAAACCGAAAACACCGGUGUGUGUGAUUCACGAACAAUGAAUGAACGAGACUAAUUGCAGCCGAUAGUGUGUGAGCUCGCGGUGACAGUUGCGGUUGAGCGUCGCGAGGGCCGCCGAGCAUCGUGUGUGGGACGUGGUCGGAUUGUGCGCGCGAAGCACAGGCGAAGCACAGCCGAAGCACAGCCGAAGCACACUUGCAACUGGACAGAUGCAACAAGACGAUGAGCUGUGCUCCAAAGUGUGCAGCGGAGUUGCACGGUGCGAAAGCGACGGGCAGGAGGAAGGCUGUGCUGCGCUGUGCUGCGCUGUGCUGCGCUGUGCUGCGCUGUGCUGCGCUGUGCUGCGCUGUGCUGCGCUGUGCUCCUGGCUUCGCUCUCUCAGUUUAGGACGUUUUGUUUCUUGUCCCCGUGCUUUUGAGUCCCAGCAAGUUGAAAGAGAGGAGGGGGGUCUUUUGUCUGACCUGAUCCCUGGCCAUUCGGGGCUCACACUGGUGUGAAUGGGACGAGAAGGUCACUUGAAAUCGCCUUUCAUCCGCUGCCAUUUUUCAAUGGAUCACCAGCUUUCAAUAGACAUAAUCUAAUCGCCCUUAAUGGAAAGGCUAAACGUGAGAAAUGAGGGAAAUAUCUUGAACAUAAAACCGCACCGCAUACAUAUUUCUCUAUCCAGGCACCAUCGGCAGCAGUGCCAAGUUAUACGCGCUUUCAAAGUGAUGGACACGUCAUAAAGGGCCGUUUAGCUCCGUUUAACGCGGUUCAUUUCAAAUUAAAGCCGGACAUUGUGAUGAGAAUAAAAUAAAAAUAAUUUGUAAAAAAAAAAAAGAGAAGCUGUUUUCCAUCUACAUUAGAGACUGUUGUCAAGUAAUAUACCUGACACUUUUUGUGAGGUUCUAAAUAAUAGGGCAAUAAAAAACAACAUUAGUAAUGGUUAUUGGUUAA
Long non-coding RNA from Scleropages formosus (Asian bonytongue), 3725 nucleotides. RefSeq lists it as uncharacterized. The record is from RefSeq and is a predicted model, not a curated record. The transcript is spliced from 3 exons. NCBI's taxonomy places the organism in Eukaryota, Metazoa, Chordata, Actinopteri, Osteoglossiformes, Osteoglossidae.